RNAcentral lists this ribosomal RNA (258 nucleotides) under Triticum aestivum (bread wheat). RNAcentral describes it as "partial small subunit ribosomal RNA". The record is from RNAcentral. Lineage: Eukaryota; Viridiplantae; Streptophyta; Magnoliopsida; Poales; Poaceae.
AUGCUCAAGACACCUGGAACCAUAUUGCCAUGCUCGUUAGAGUUAUGGAGCGAUGAGCUUCAUGGAAAGAAUGGCUUCAUACAGUACCGCUCCAGACUGUUGGAUCUCAUAAAAUAUAUUGCUUAUCGAAGACCAAUCCUUGCCGCCAGCAGAGUUGCACAGAGAAUUAAUAGCGUCACUGGAGAUGCAAUCACUGUAUCAAACCCCCCCAAGGAUUUGGCUGCAUUUGAAAGUGCACAGCUAGUGCUUAACAGUUAA